RNAcentral lists this ribosomal RNA (460 nucleotides) under uncultured bacterium. Its description in RNAcentral is "partial 16S ribosomal RNA". It matches the Rfam family "Bacterial small subunit ribosomal RNA", at positions 338 to 795 of the family's 1533-position model. The record is from RNAcentral.
CCUACGGGAGGCAGCAGUGAGGAAUAUUGGUCAAUGGGCGCGAGCCUGAACCAGCCAAGUAGCGUGAAGGAUGACUGCCCUACGGGUUGUAAACUUCUUUUAUACAGGAAUAAAGUGAGGCACGUGUGCCUUUUUGUAUGUACCUUAUGAAUAAGGAUCGGCUAACUCCGUGCCAGCAGCCGCGGUAAUACGGAGGAUCCGAGCGUUAUCCGGAUUUAUUGGGUUUAAAGGGAGCGUAGAUGGGUUGUUAAGUCAGUUGUGAAAGUUUGCGGCUCAACCGUAGAAUUGCAGUGGAUACUGGCCGGCUUGAGUACAGUUGAGGUAGGCGGAAUUCGUGGUGUAGCGGUGAAAUGCUUAGAUAUCACGCAGAACUCCGAUUGCGAAGGCAGCCUACUAAGCUGCCACUGACAUUGAGGCACGAAAGUGUGGGUAUCAAACAGGAUUAGAUACCCUGGUAGUC